Molecule: ribosomal RNA, 433 nt
Filed under: uncultured bacterium
Lineage: Bacteria
Description: partial 16S ribosomal RNA
Rfam family: Bacterial small subunit ribosomal RNA
Source: RNAcentral
AGCGAACGCUGGCGGCAGGCUUAACACAUGCAAGUCGAGCGGGCACUUUCGGGUGUCAGCGGCGGACGGGUGAGUAACGCGUGGGAACGUGCCCUCUGGUUCGGAAUAACUCAGGGAAACUUGAGCUAAUACCGGAUACGCCCUUUUGGGGAAAGGCUUGCUGCCGGAGGAUCGGCCCGCGUCUGAUUAGCUAGUUGGUGAGGUAACGGCUCACCAAGGCGACGAUCAGUAGCUGGUCUGAGAGGAUGAUCAGCCACACUGGGACUGAGACACGGCCCAGACUCCUACGGGAGGCAGCAGUGGGGAAUAUUGGACAAUGGGCGCAAGCCUGAGCCAGCCAUGCCGCGUGAGUGAUGAAGGCUUGAGGGUUGUAAAGCUCUUUUAUCCGGGACGAUAAUGACGGGACCGGAGGAAUAAGCCCCGGCUAACUUCG